RNAcentral lists this ribosomal RNA (540 nucleotides) under uncultured Cytophagales bacterium. RNAcentral's name for it is "bacterial SSU rRNA". It matches the Rfam family "Bacterial small subunit ribosomal RNA", at positions 355 to 896 of the family's 1533-position model. Lineage: Bacteria; Pseudomonadati; Bacteroidota; Sphingobacteriia; Sphingobacteriales. The record is from RNAcentral.
UAGGGAAUAUUGGGCAAUGGACGCAAGUCUGACCCAGCCAUGCCGCGUGCAGGAUGAAGGCGUUAUGCGUUGUAAACUGCUUUUAUACAGGAAGAAACGACUCUUGCGAGAGGCAUUGACGGUACUGUAUGAAUAAGCACCGGCUAACUCCGUGCCAGCAGCCGCGGUAAUACGGAGGGUGCAAGCGUUGUCCGGAUUUAUUGGGUUUAAAGGGUGCGCAGGUGGUUUAUUAAGUCAGUGGUGAAAGACGGUCGCUCAACGAUUGCAGUGCCAUUGAAACUGGUAGACUUGAGUAAAGUAGAGGUGGGCGGAAUUGAUAGUGUAGCGGUGAAAUGCAUAGAUAUUAUCAAGAACUCCAAUUGCGUAGGCAGCUCACUUGGCUUUUACUGACACUCAUGCACGAAAGUGUGGGUAUCAAACAGGAUUAGAUACCCUGGUAGUCCACACUGUAAACGAUGAUAACUAGGUGUCGGCCGAAUCUGGUCGGUGCCACAGCGAAAGCGUUAAGUUAUCCACCUGGGGAGUACGCCGGCAACGGUG